ACUUUGUUGGUUGUAGCUAUUACUGCUGUGAUACUGCAAAGCAGCCAGGAUGGCAAGGGCACCUUAGUGGAGAUCAGAACAGUGGGCUGUGUCAUAUUUUUGGCUGGGGCCUGGGGAGGUGGCCCAACCCCGGUUUGGAGUCAGUGAUACUGCCAAACCAUCUCGGUGUUGGCACGAAUCUUCUUUCGUUCCUCUGGCUCAGAUGUACCGCCUGAGGACUGGGUGGUUUAGCAUUCAAGGCCUGUGCCACUUUGACCGAUCCUUGGAGGGAAUCGGCAUCUGAUUCACAGGCUCUACGCAGUGAAAUCAAAUGUAUUGAGUCCUUUGCAGAGAUGCCAGAGGGGCUGUGAAGGCAGGUAAGUCUCUGCUGCUUAUUCAUCUCAGGCAGCUUUGUUUCCCCAUAUUUUACAUUGGAGAAUGACCAGCAGACUUGUAUUAAACGUCUGCUGCGUACAGAGCCCGGACCUGGGGGCUCCAGAGACACAGGGUGGCUGCGUCCAAAGCUGUAUCCCGGAACUCCUUGGAGGGGGACCAUUGCCACACUGUGCAGUGCACAGUUGCAGACACAGGCCUUGGAAUGGGCCACGGGAACACAGGAGGACGGGGUGGACUUCAGGCAGUGACAGAGAUAAAGCCCGGCCACACAUCUAUCUCAGGACUGGACAGGUUUUGCUAAAGGUCAGGAGGGUGGAGAGAAAUCCAGCUCUGGUCACAGAGAGAUGAGUGACAUUUGGGACUCUGUAAAUGUAAGUAGUUAAUACGCUGGCCCGUAGCGAGGCCUGCCGUGGUUUUGUGUUUUGGCUCAGCUCUAGUUGUGUGAAUCCCACCUGCAGAGGUGGAAAAGGGAAGGGAGUCUUCCCACUUUAGGUAGUCCAGGCAGUGGGGCUGACUCCCUCCGUGGGCUCCCGUGUCCCUCCUCCCUCUAGGACUGCUUGCUCCGCGUGCUGGAUCAGGGUGGAGGUGGGGAGGGGACACACAAAACAGCCCCAGGGCAGUGUGCCACGGUAUGUUCAGAAAAUUGUGGGUCGUCCCGGUUCCUCACCACAUGGCUGCACCAGCCAGGGGUAGACCUGGGCAGGAGGUGCAGGGCCCGCAGUGCCGUGUGGCCCAGGGUUUGCCGCGGACCCCUCGGGGUUGUCCUCACCGUGACCGAACAGCUGCGUAGUCCUUAACUUGCUAUCCCUGAAGCCACUCACCCUAGCUCCCCAGGGAGACGGAAGGCGGCCCGGGGGUGGCCCCAUCUCUUCCUUCCAGCCCCUCUACAGGACCAUUUGUUUUCCUCCCCUCCUGCCUUCAUAAGGCCCCUCUUGCCCCUCACAUGGAGACCCUGGUUGUGGGGUGGAAAGAUGGCCAGGGAAGGAGAGGUGUCUUUACUCCCAGAGCCCUCGGGCAGGGCCAGCCAUCCAUGCGACAGCCAGGCUGCGAGAUCUGGGACGGGCUCGGGAUCCAUCUCUCCCUGCUGGCCCCCGUGGGCCUGUCACCCGCCGAGCCUUGGGCUAAUUCUGGUCUAAAUCCAUCGGUGGCUGGAAGAGUCACUGGAUCGGAAAUAGAACUUCUAAGCCCUUUUGUAAAAUUGGAAUAGACACAAAGCAGGUCUCGGGGAUCAGAAUAGCAGGUCAUCCCCAGACCCUCCCAGAAUCAGGCCAGUCUACUCUCCCGUUAUGUAAGGCCCUCCCAGAGCAGCGGCCUACUGGGCUGAGAUGCAGAGCGAUGGUGAGUUCUUUUGUUGUUUUGUUUUCAAAGGUGAUUUUAUAAAGUCAACUGAGCUAUUUUUGAGAAUAGUCAGAAAAAUAUCUAUUCUUUAGUGUCUUAAAAUAUGUUUCUCCUUAGCUCUCAUAAAAGGUACUUGUUGGCAGGAAUGGGAGUUUGGGCUUAUUUGAAAACUUUCAGAAAUGUAAAAGGUUCCAGUUGUACAAAGUGAGACCCCAAAGUAGAUUAAGAUACAUCCUAACCUUUGCCCAGUGCCGUAGGGAUUACCAGGGCUCUUAGGGAUGUCUCCCUUUCCCCUCCUCGCUGCUGUCAGGGGUGGGGGCAGGUGCUGUAGUGGUGUCGCCCCUUUAUAAUUGAGGGCCCUGAGCCAUGGGUUCAGGGACCUGCUUGAGACCGCAAGGAACCAGCGCCUUCCUGUGCAUCACACUCCGUCCCUGCGUUCUCCGCAGCAUCCUGGGGUCUCGGCACAUUGGGUUCGUAAUUCUCCACACAUACCUCACGUGUCACUUUUCUUGGCCAAGUUCUCGCAAUGAGUUGCUAACUUUUCCAGGAUUUCACCAAGCACUAGGUUUUGAUCUGACUGUAUCUGGGGAGAAACCCAGAAGAAGAAAGAGACUUAAAAUGACAUUUAAUGAUCCUCAUUAAUAAUUUCUCAGUUUUGAAAUCUUUAAAGGUAAAUCCUGUAAAUAUUGGAGCAUAGCAGCCAGUGUAAUUGACUGACUGAAUCCAAGAUGCAGAACAAAGCAACAACAAUGGUAACCUUACCAGUUAACACUGACAUAGACCUUAACACGUGCCAGGCACCUUCUAAGCUCUUAAUAUGUAACUCAUUGAAUCAUCACAGCAAUCCUGUGAGGUAGGCACUGUUACUCUCAUUUUCAGGUGAGGAAACUGAGGCUUGGAGGAGUUAUGUAGGUUGUCUAUGGCCACACAGUUUGUAAUUGUGGGAGCCAGGAUCUGAGCCCAGGCUGGUUCCAGAAUGAUCUUAACCGUUUCACCAUGGUGCCCCUGAACAGAUGUGUUCAUGUUCAUGUCACUGCUUUAAGAACGCAUGAGUGGACUUGUAAGCAAUUUUUGAGCGCUUACCAUGAACCAGGCUGGGUGCUAGAUAUUUUUGUACACUUUAUUCUAUCUCAUUUAAAUCAUAGCUUCAGGGCUGGAAAGGAGUGUGUGAAGAGGAUUUUCAGAGAUGGCUGGCUCCCACUCUACGGUCGUUCCUUAGCUCCAUUGGCUCUUUUAUUCAGUCGCUCAGCAAACAAAGCCUCUGCCUUAUAACCACAGUAGUAAGUAGGUUUGAGCCUUUGUCUGGUCAAACUUUUUUUUUCUUAAUUUAUUUUUGGCUGCGUUGGGUCUUCAUUGCUGCACGCAGGCUUUCUCUAGUUGCGGCGAGUGGGGGCUAGUCUUUGUUGCGGUGCAGGGGCUUCCUGUUGCGGUGGCUUCUCUUGUGGAGCACGGACUCUAGGCACACAGGCUUCAGUAGUUGUGGCGCGCGGGCUUAGUAGUUGUGGCUCGCGGGCUCUAGAGCGCAGGCUCAGUAGUUGUGGCACAUGGGCUGAGUUGCUCUGUGGCAUGUGGGAUCUUCCCAUACCAGGGCUUGAACCCGUGUCCCCUGCAUUGGCAGGCGGAUUCUUAACCACUGUGCCACCAGGGAAGUCCCCUGGUAAAACAUUUUUAACUUUCUGUUUGUCACAUGUCCUGAAGAAUAGUCGUCCCCAACCUUUUUGGCACUGGGGACCGGUUUCAUGGAGGACAAUUUUUCCACGGAUGUGAGCAGUGGGGGGGGGGGGGGGGUCAGGAGGUAAUGCGAACAAUGGGGAGCGAUGGGGAGCGGCAGAUGAAGCUUUGCUCGUUCGUCCGCUGCUCACCUCCUGCUGUGUGGCCCAGUUCCUAACAGGCCAAGGACCGCUACUGGUCCGUGGUCUGGGGGUUGGGGGCCCCUGCCAAAGAAGACCUCUUUUAACUAUGGCUGUUAAAACCACCCCAAAACUUAGUAGUUAGGGCAACAUUAUUAUCAUUUCUCAUAGUUCUGUGGGCUGGGCUCAGCUGGGAGGUUCUUUGGCUGGUCUGGCCAGUGGUCCCUGUGCAGUCAUGUGGUGAAUCCACUGGGAUUUCGCUGCUUUCUUGUCCAAGGUAUUCUGUGGUUCUCUCCUUCCCCAGAGGGCCUUCCCUCUGGGGGAGUAGUGUCUUCAUUAGUGUAGCUAGACAACUUCUCAGGACUCCUAAGAACACACAAGCAGAGCUCUCUAAGCUCUCUUUGAAGGCUUAGGCCUGCAACUCGCCCAGUACUGCUUGCACUGCAUCCUCUUCUUAGAGCAAGUCAGAGCCCCAGCCCAGAUUUAAGGGGCAAAGACUGCACCGUGGGGGGGGAUAUUGGAAGCAUUGGUUCAUUGGGGUUCACUGUGUGGCAGGCUCCCACAACAACCUCAGGCCCUCAUUCUCAGAGCCUGCAUAUUCUUAUAGUUCUAAAAAAUUUAAUUAUUGACUUUGAGAUCUCCAAGAGUCCAGAAGUAACAUAUUUCAAGUCAGGGAAAGAGCUGCUAUGAGGAGGUACAUGAACAUCAAUGAAGGGUGAUAGCUGGUAGUCAUCAGCAAGGACACAAACCACAAAAGCAGAUUUAACUCUCGUCUCAGUCCUCUGGGAAACUUGUCUAUUCACAGUGACCCAUCCUGUAAGAUAUUCAUAUUGCCGAAGCUCCACUGUACCUAAUUCAGCCAGCAGGUUUUUUAACUCAAUGCUUCAUUCAUUGAGACUAAAAGUAUCUUACAAAUUGGCAUUGACUGUGGACCAUUUAAUCAAAGUUCUGAUUACUGAUCACAGAACCACCCAUACUUUAGAAGAAAUGAUUCUUGGAUUGCUUUUCAAACAGUGGAAAUUUAUGAUCAUGUAUGAUUGUAGCAUUGUGUUGAAAAGGAACUAAUACAGACUGAAUGUGUUCCUUGAAAAAUUCAUAGCUAGAAAUGAGGAAACAAGGAACAUGUUAUUGGAUGAUGGAGAAAAGGUGACCUUUGUAAUAAAAUGGCAAAGAACUUGGUGGGAUUAUGUUUUGCAGGAAGGACAUGAAUUUGGGGGGAACCAGAGGUGGAAUGUUACCCCAAAUUCAUUGGUUGAAGCUCUAAACCCCAGUGUGGCGAUGUUUGGAUAUAGGACCUCUAAAGAAGUAAUUAAGGUUAAGGGAGUUCAUAGAUCUUCUAAAAUUAGUGGCCUUGGAAGGAGAGACACCAGAGAGCUUGCCUGCACGCUCUCUCCCCUGGUGCACACACACUGGGGAAAUACCAUGUGAGGGCACAGCGAGAAGGCAGCCGUCUGCAAGCCAGGGAGAGAGUCCUCAGCAGAAACUGAGUUGGCCAGACCUUGAGCUUGGACUUCUAGGCUCCAGAACUGUAGGAAAAGUCGCUUCUGUUGUUAAAACCACUCAGUCUCUGGUAUUUUGUUAUGGCAGCCCGAGCUAAGACAGGAACGUUAGGCACCCUGGUGACCUUUGACCCUGAAGCCCCAGGAAACCACGGAUCAAUGAACGGAGCUUAACCCCAUGAAACAGAGCUCCUAUUGUCCUGUCUCCAGCUCUGGCUUGCACCUUCCCAGCUUGAGUGGGGGCCUUGUUUCUCUCAAUGGCACUUUGGUUUCCUAGUUAGAAGUGAGAAAAGGAGAGUCUCCUGGGGAGGUUAAGGUUACUCCAGUAA
This is a long non-coding RNA of Orcinus orca (killer whale), 5391 nucleotides long. RefSeq lists it as uncharacterized. Lineage: Eukaryota; Metazoa; Chordata; Mammalia; Artiodactyla; Delphinidae. The record is from RefSeq and is a predicted model, not a curated record. The transcript has 2 exons.